RNAcentral lists this ribosomal RNA (563 nucleotides) under uncultured Bifidobacterium sp. RNAcentral describes it as "bacterial SSU rRNA". It matches the Rfam family "Bacterial small subunit ribosomal RNA", at positions 146 to 711 of the family's 1533-position model. The record is from RNAcentral. Lineage: Bacteria; Bacillati; Actinomycetota; Actinomycetes; Bifidobacteriales; Bifidobacteriaceae.
UCUCCUGGAAACGGGUGGUAAUGCCGGAUGUUCCACAUGAGCGCAUGCGAGUGUGGGAAAGGCUUUUUGCGGCAUGGGAUGGGGUCGCGUCCUAUCAGCUUGUUGGUGGGGUAACGGCCUACCAAGGCGUUGACGGGUAGCCGGCCUGAGAGGGCGACCGGCCACAUUGGGACUGAGAUACGGCCCAGACUCCUACGGGAGGCAGCAGUGGGGAAUAUUGCACAAUGGGCGCAAGCCUGAUGCAGCGACGCCGCGUGCGGGAUGGAGGCCUUCGGGUUGUAAACCGCUUUUGUUCAAGGGCAAGGCACGGUUUCGGCCGUGUUGAGUGGAUUGUUCGAAUAAGCACCGGCUAACUACGUGCCAGCAGCCGCGGUAAUACGUAGGGUGCAAGCGUUAUCCGGAUUUAUUGGGCGUAAAGGGCUCGUAGGCGGUUCGUCGCGUCCGGUGUGAAAGUCCAUCGCUUAACGGUGGAUCCGCGCCGGGUACGGGCGGGCUUGAGUGCGGUAGGGGAGACUGGAAUUCCCGGUGUAACGGUGGAAUGUGUAGAUAUCGGGAAGACACCA